UGCCUUACACAUGCAAGUCGAACGGCAGCGCGGGGCAACCUGGCGGCGAGUGGCGAACGGGUGACUAAUAUAUCGGAACAUACCCUAGAGUGGGGGAUAACGUAGCGAAAGUUACGCUAAUACCGCAUACGAUCUAAGGAUGAAAGCGGGGGAUCGCAAGACCUCGUGCUCAUGGAGUGGCCGAUAUCUGAUUAGCUAGUUGGUAGGGUAAAAGCCUACCAAGGCGACGAUCAGUAGCUGGUUUGAGAGAACGACCAGCCACACUGGAACUGAGACACGGUCCAGACUCCUACGGGAGGCAGCAGUGGGGAAUUUUGGACAAUGGGGGCAACCCUGAUCCAGCAAUGCCGCGUGAGUGAAGAAGGCCCUCGGGUUGUAAAGCUCUUUUGUCAGGGAAGAAACGGUGUUUCCUAAUACGGAAUGCUAAUGACGGUACCUGAAGAAUAAGCACCGGCUAACUACGUGCCAGCAGCCGCGGUAAUACGUAGGGUGCAAGCGUUAAUCGGAAUUACUGGGCGUAAAGCGUGCGCAGGCGGUUUUAUAAGUCUGAUGUGAAAUCCCCGGGCUCAACCUGGGAACUGCAUUGGAGACUGUAAGGCUAGAGUGUGUCAGAGGGGGGUAGAAUUCCACGUGUAGCAGUGAAAUGCGUAGAUAUGUGGAGGAAUACCGAUGGCGAAGGCAGCCCCCUGGGAUAACACUGACGCUCAUGCACGAAAGCGUGGGGAGCAAACAGGAUUAGAUACCCUGGUAGUCCACGCCCUAAACGAUGUCUACUAGUUGUCGGGUCUUAAUUGACUUGGUAACGCAGCUAACGCGUGAAGUAGACCGCCUGGGGAGUACGGUCGCAAGAUUAAAACUCAAAGGAAUUGACGGGGACCCGCACAAGCGGUGGAUGAUGUGGAUUAAUUCGAUGCAACGCGAAAAACCUUACCUACCCUUGACAUGGAAGGAAUCCCGAAGAGAUUUGGGAGUGCUCGAAAGAGAACCUUUACACAGGUGCUGCAUGGCUGUCGUC
RNAcentral lists this ribosomal RNA (1015 nucleotides) under Undibacterium sp. Its description in RNAcentral is "bacterial SSU rRNA". It matches the Rfam family "Bacterial small subunit ribosomal RNA", at positions 45 to 1056 of the family's 1533-position model. The record is from RNAcentral. Lineage: Bacteria; Pseudomonadati; Pseudomonadota; Betaproteobacteria; Burkholderiales; Oxalobacteraceae.